This 257-nucleotide long non-coding RNA is filed under the name Prunus persica (peach). RNAcentral's name for it is "long non-coding RNA (PPER_LNC004546)". The record is from RNAcentral. Lineage: Eukaryota; Viridiplantae; Streptophyta; Magnoliopsida; Rosales; Rosaceae.
UCCAGAGCAGCUUGCUUUGUCAGACAUUGGAUUUUUGGGACUUUGGCUAAUUCUGGGUUUAAGCAUGCUUGGAUCAAAAUUGAGAAUUAAUUGGGAAAGCUGACUCAGGAAAUGCUCUCUCUCAGCCUCUACCAAUUGUUUCGUUCUAGCCUCCAUCCUUAAAGCCUCUUCCCUUGCCUUAGCUUCCAUCUUUUUAGUCUCUUCUUGAAGGAGAACUCUUAAACUGUCCUUCAAACGGUCGUCAAAGCUCACUCUCU